Molecule: long non-coding RNA, 576 nt
Organism: Carassius gibelio (silver crucian carp)
Lineage: Eukaryota; Metazoa; Chordata; Actinopteri; Cypriniformes; Cyprinidae
Exons: 2
Source: RefSeq, a predicted model, not a curated record
CAAACAUUUAAAGAAGAGCUUUAUGUGAAUCACAGAGCUUUUGAGAGCAGAGUCAAGUUAAUUUUCUGUUCUUUUACCAUAGAUCAACUAUGUUUAGAUUGGCUUUGAUUUCUCUAUGCGUCAUAGCACAUUAUGAUGUGUCUUUGGGACAGGACAGGGUUGAACAGUCUUCACGAGAAAUUACUGAAGAUGAAAGAGAUCAAGUUAUUGUAAGGUGUAAUUAUUUUGCCACUGAUAAAAACAUAAACCUUUUCUGGUACAAACAACUACCAAACAGAUCACCAACAUUAAUUCUGGGUCAAUACAGCACUGAGCUGGAAUUUAAGAAGAGAUUUUCUGCAACAAUGAACUCUACAUCAUUUCCACUGAUGAUCAAGAACCUACAUGUGUCUGACUCUGCUGUGUACUACUGUGCUCUGAGGCCCACAGUGACAGAAACACACUCAACACUCACACAAGAACAGAGGAAGUGCUCAGCUAUAUGAUACGUAUGCACAUUCAUCUUACUGUAUAUGAUCUUGUUACAUUUUCUAGACUGAAUCACAAAACAAUAAAGAGAAUAACAUUUACAACUCA